RNAcentral lists this ribosomal RNA (482 nucleotides) under uncultured bacterium. Its description in RNAcentral is "partial 16S ribosomal RNA". It matches the Rfam family "Bacterial small subunit ribosomal RNA", at positions 28 to 523 of the family's 1533-position model. The record is from RNAcentral.
GACGAACGCUGGAGGCGUGCUUAACACAUGCAAGUCGAACGAUGAAAUGGAGCUUGCUCCAUGGAUUAGUGGCGAACGGGCGAGUAACACGUGAAUAACCUGCCCUUAAUUUUGGAAUAACCCAGGGAAACCUGGGCUAAUACCGGAUAAGUAAACCUGUGGCAUCACAUGGUUUUGGAAAGUUUUUCGAUUAAGGAUGGAUUCGCGGCCUAUCAGCUUGUUGGUGAGGUAAUGGCUCACCAAGGCGACGACGGGUAGCCGGCCUGAGAGGGUGAACGGCCACACUGGGACUGAGACACGGCCCAGACUCCUACGGGAGGCAGCAGUGGGGAAUGUUGCGCAAUGGACGAAAGUCUGACGCAGCGACGCCUCGUGAGGGACGAAGGUCUUCGGAUUGUAAACCUCUUUCAGCAGGGACGAAGCGAAAGUGACGGUACCUGCAGAAGAAGCACCGGCUAACUAUGUGCCAGCCGCCGCGGUAA